This 253-nucleotide ribosomal RNA is filed under the name uncultured bacterium. RNAcentral's name for it is "partial 16S ribosomal RNA". It matches the Rfam family "Bacterial small subunit ribosomal RNA", at positions 524 to 776 of the family's 1533-position model. The record is from RNAcentral.
UACGUAGGCAGCGAGCGUUGUUCGGAGUUACUGGGCGUAAAGCGUGCGUAGGCGAUGGCCCAAGCCUGGUGUGAAAUCUCCCGGCUCAACCGGGAGGGUGCGCCGGAAACUGGGUCGCUCGAGUACUGGAGAGGCAAGCGGAAUUCCUGGUGUAGCGGUGAAAUGCGUAGAUAUCAGGAGGAACACCCGUGGUGUAGACGGCUUGCUGGACAGUCACUGACGCUGAGGCACGAAAGCGUGGGGAGCAAACAGG